RNAcentral lists this long non-coding RNA (402 nucleotides) under Phasianus colchicus (ring-necked pheasant). RNAcentral describes it as "lncRNA (ENSPCLG00000012322.1)". Lineage: Eukaryota; Metazoa; Chordata; Aves; Galliformes; Phasianidae. The record is from RNAcentral.
AGCUUGUGUCACCUUAUCUGCUCUAUCUCAGCUGUGCCUUUCGUUUCUCCAUCUGGCAGAGGAGGAGCUGGGAGCUGCAGCAGGUGUGGUUCAUGAGUUCUGCAGCUUGUUGUGCCAUUACGGUGGGUAAGCCCCGUGGUAGCUAUUAGCAAUCACAUAUAUAAUACACCAGGUCUGGAAGAUGUUUAGCAGUUAAGGUAGUUUGUGAGAAGGGUGCUUAUGUGCUCUGAGUCCUUGGAGCUUGCUGGGGUACCCACUGGGGUCUUCCUAUUCAGUGCUGACCCAAGAUGGAUGACAGCAAGCCAAGUGAGAUGCUUCAAGAGGGAGCAGUGGAGUGAAGGGUUGAGUGCAUGCUGCUCCUUCAGCUCCACAGCUGCCACCGUUUGCAGCACCAAGCUAUAG